This 454-nucleotide small RNA is filed under the name Pongo abelii (Sumatran orangutan). RNAcentral's name for it is "retained intron". The record is from RNAcentral. Lineage: Eukaryota; Metazoa; Chordata; Mammalia; Primates; Hominidae.
GCGCACCAGCCAGGGGCGCCAGGGAUCGCCUCCCGAGAGGUGCACGGGCCGUGGCCCAGAGUCGCUUACCCACUGCCCUGCCCACCAGCCAGCCCCAGCCCGACCUCACCGACCACCUCCGUGCGCAGGCGACUGCCCUCGACACGCCGCGCCGCCCUACCUCGCUCACCCUGCCCCGCGCUGACCCCAGCCCCAGCGAGGAGUCCGACCAGACGAUGAUCGACCAGACCGCGAUCGGGAGCUACUACCAGCUGUUCGCGGCGGCUGUGGGCAACGUGGAAUGGCUGCGAUUCUGUCUGAACCAGAGCCUCAGGGAAAUCCCCACCGACGACAAGGUUCUUGAAGGAUGCCAUGUGGAAAAAGGACAAGAAGGACUUUGCCCGUGAGAUGAGGAAAAUGAAGAUGCUCAAGAGCCAGCUGACCCUCAUGGAGCACAACUACCUGAUUGAGUAUC